This 61-nucleotide transfer RNA is filed under the name Cloacotaenia megalops. Its description in RNAcentral is "tRNA-Ile". The record is from RNAcentral. Lineage: Eukaryota; Metazoa; Platyhelminthes; Cestoda; Cyclophyllidea; Hymenolepididae.
CCAAUAGGGCUGCUAAGCAGGCUACUUUGAUAUAGUAGAUUGUAAAUUAUAUUUCGUUGGU